AAGAGACGUUGCCCUUCGGGGUAUACCUCCCACCCUUUGUUUAUUAUACCUUUGUUGCUUUGGCAGGCCCGUCCUCGGACCACCGGCUUCUGCUGGUCAGUGCCCGCCAGAGGACCUAAAACUCUGUUUGUUAAUAUUGUCUGAGUACUAUAUAAUAGCUA
RNAcentral lists this unclassified non-coding RNA (161 nucleotides) under soil metagenome. Its description in RNAcentral is "partial internal transcribed spacer 1". The record is from RNAcentral.